RNAcentral lists this long non-coding RNA (6228 nucleotides) under Theobroma cacao (cacao). Its description in RNAcentral is "long non-coding RNA (TCAC_LNC003208)". Lineage: Eukaryota; Viridiplantae; Streptophyta; Magnoliopsida; Malvales; Malvaceae. The record is from RNAcentral.
AGUGCAAGCUCUGUGGGUAUAUUUUGAAUUAUGAAAGCAAGUAUGGGGCAGGUAAUUUGAAACGUCAUAAUGAUAAUGUCACGACCCAAAUUUCAGGCCAUGACCGGUGCAUGGGCCCAAUGGGCAUAGCCCACUAAGCCCAAGCAAGCCUAUUUAUAUGACCUGUUCAUCAUUCCAUCAAAAGUUCCUAAAUUCACAUUUCAUAAUUCCAAUUCAAAAUAAUGCUAACCAUUGCGAACUCAUAGUGGCAUUACCAAUCCAAAUAUACAUAUAUUGUCUAAAACAUACAUCUUAAUAUUUUACAUCGGGUUUGUCUAUACACAACCAAAGGGAUACUCGACUUCCAGCGGAGAGAUCUGGGCAAAAGUACAGCUAUUAAAUGUCGAGAUACCUACCACGGAGACAAAUCUACGAGGACACCUCGACCUAGUUACCAACUGCCUCCUGAUCUGAAAACAGUGAGUAUAAACCCAAUGAGUGAACAAAGGAAGGGAACAAGCAAACGAUAAGAAAAGUUUAAAGAAAUCAUGAUGCACUUAUUUUCAAAAACAAUGCAAUUUAGUUUAGUUCUUAUUAAAACCCCUCAUUAAACCCUUAAUUGGUUAAUCACUUGAUGAUGAAGGAUCCAUGCACAACAAAGAAUUUGAAGAGUGAAAACUUUAGUAGCAUUCAAGCAAGUCAAGCGAAAUAACUGAUCCUCGCUAUAGCGAAAAGGCAUUCUCGCUGUAGCGAAAUUUAGGCUCAAAUCAUUAGCUGGUCGAGGGUUUCUCACUAAAACCCUUCAUUUCAAACUUAAUUAAUUAAUUCCUUGAUGUUGGAAGUUCAUGAUCAACUAUGAUGUUAAAGAAGUGAAAAAUAUGGCAGAAACCAAACAAGGUAGCAAUCACGACAGAAGGUUUCUCGCUACAGCAAAACCACCUGUAGACAUCUCGCUGUAGCAAGAAUGUAUUAUAACUAUAGCGAGUUACAGGACUGCAGCCAGGCUCCCAACCAAAGAGUUUCUCGCUGCAACGAGAAACUGAACACCAAGAAGAAAGUUCUCAUUAUAUCAAGAAAAGGUCAUCCUGCUGCAAUGACAAAGUCAACUUGAAAAUACUUAGCAAUUUCCAAGGUUCAACAUGCAAGAUUUCACAUACAUUACAACCAUAUACCAUAUUCAUGAACUUUCUAUUGCAUAAAUAUAUAUAUAUAUAUAUAUAUAUAUAUAUACACNNNNNNNNNNNNNNNNNNNNNNNNNNNNNNNNNNNNNNNNNNNNNNNNNNNAACCAUAUACCAUAUUCAUGAACUUUCUAUUGCAAUAAUAUAUAUAUAUAUAUAUAUAUAUAUAUAUACACAUAUAUAAACACCAAUACCACCACUUCACCCAGCUCAUGUGCAUCCCUCACAUCGUGCACAGCUAAUACCGUCGUGUGCAUCCCCUACAUCGUGCACAGGCAACAUCAUCAUCCACACUCUCGCACCCGUCAUCACCGGCAUGCGCAUCCCCCACAUCGCGCACAUUCACGGUUAUAUUUAUUACACAAUAUUAACUAUUGAUACACAACAUAUAUAUAUAUAUAUCAGCAUCCUAUAGGAGCACAAAGAUUCAUCAUAUUACACACUCACCACAUAAAAUGUUUUAAUAAAGGCUUGUUCCCAUGCAUAAUCUUUAAGGAAAAAUCAAAUAAAAAUCAUUCACAUGCUUCAUCCAAAUACCAAUACAUUUCCCAAAAUAUUUUAAAUGCAAGUUAACUCACCUUGGUGGAUUUGUAAUUGAAUUUCUUUUCAAAAUUCUUCCAAGCUAAGAAGGGAAAUCACUCCCUCUCUCUCUACACGUCCAACUAGUGAGUGAAUGUACUUAAGAAAGACUUUUGAGGGCUAUUAAGGUGUAAAAGUGGAAGAGCAUGAAAAACCCUAUGAAAGAGUGUAGAAAAACAUGAGAAAUAAAGCUAAUUUGGGAAAGUUUUAAAGGUUUCAAAGGAUACUUCCAUGAAAGGUGCAAAGAAACAUGGAAUGGAGAGGAGGAUAGGAGGAAGAAGAAGAAGAGAAGCUGUUAAAAAACUAAAAAAAAGCUGCUGGAGAUUAGAUAUUUAUAGUUAAAGGUUAUCCAAUUUUCAUAGAAUUUACAACAAUGCCCUUAACAAGGCCAUUUGUCUUCCUCCUUUCCUUUAUGCACUCUUUUUACUCCUUUAACAUUGAGACAAAGUCCAUAAUAGUCUAAAAGUACUCGAGUUUACGAAAACCUAAAAAUUUAUGCUCGAGGUGCAAAAUAAUCAUUUUACCCCUACCAUAGAAAUUAUCAAUAUUUAUAUCUACUUCAUGUAUUUUACCCUCAUUCAUUUAUUCCUUAAGCCUACUUAGACCUUAAUAAUGUCUGAAAGUCUACUUUUAAGGGCUCACCAUGAGAAAUGAUGAAAUUACCCCUAGCCUAUGUUAUCGCGUCUACACCUAGUUACGGGGCCUGUAGAAGUCGAGGUCUCACAGAUAAUUGUGUUAGGAAAGACACACGUGAUAUAGGUCAAAUGAUUUUUUCUAAGGAACAUAAUUCAAUGUUAAUGAGGUCUUCAAAGUUUGAUCCUGAAAAGUUUUGUGAAUUAGUGGUAGCUGCAAUUGUGAUGCAUAAUUGACCUUUAUCAUUUAUGGAGUAUACUGGCAUUAGGUCUAUGUUGCCUUAUUUGCGUGAAGAUGUUGUUCUGAUCUCUAGGAACAUUGUUAAAGCUGAUAUAAUUAAGAUGCAUAAAAGAGAAAAAAGUAAGAUACAAUACCUGCUUCAAGAAUCACCUGAUAAGAUUUGUUUAACUUCUGAUUUGUGGACUUCUGUUGUUAUUGAUGGGUAAAUUUGUCUUACUGCUCAUUUUGUUGACAAAAAUUGGAUUUUACAAAAAAAAAUCUUGAAUUUUUCCUUUAUGCCACCUCCAGACAAUGGUGUUGUUUUGAGUGAAAAGAUUUAUGCAUUGUUAGUUGAAUGAGGAAUUGAAAGUAAAUUGUUUUCAAUAACAUUGGAUAAUGCUUCUGCAAAUAAUACUUUUCUUGAUUUGUUGAAAGUGCAAUUGAAUAUGAGAAAGCAACUUUUAGGAGGAGGCAAGUUUUUUCAUAUAAGAUGUUGUGCUCAUAUACUUAAGUUGAUUGUGCAAGAUGGUUUGAAAGAAGUUGAUAGUGCAAUGCAAAAUGUGAGGGAAAGUAUUAAGUAUGUGAAAGGUUCUUUGUCACGACCCGGUACUCCCCUCGAGCCCAUGACAACUCCCGCGGUGUCCCGAUCGAUACUCAUUACCCGAAAUGUCAACCGGAACCCCGCAAGGCUUUAAUAUCAGUUUCUCAUUUUCGUUGUGAGUAACCGUUGCUGAAUAUCAUGUUCUAAAAGAUUUUAAGCUAUUUCCAACUUAAAUCAAUAAAAAANGGGAAUAGCUAAAGCUGACUUUUAACCAAUUUUAUGGAAUUUUUAUUCUUGAAGAAUUGUUAUUUCGUGUGCUAAUUUUAAACCAAAUAAAGGUACGAGAAAAGAGUGGGAAUAGAGGAAUAGAAGGGGAAUAACAUAGCUAUUCCCCAUACCAAACGUGCAGUAAGUCCCUAGGUAUGGAGAUGCCUAGGAACAUUUACGUACCUCUGGUCUGCCACAUACAAAAACUAAUCAGGCUUGUGCUUCUGUAUCCACGUCACAUUUACUUUUCAUUACCAAAGCCGUUGAUGUUGUCUGAUCUCUCUUGCCAAGAUUAAAUUCCACAAGCCCAUUCACUCUGUCACGACUCGGAACUCCCAUCGACCUGUAACAACCGUCGCGUUGUCCCGAUCGACACUCAUUACUCAGAUUGUCAACUGGAACCCUGCAAAGCUUUAAUAUCAGUUUCUCUUUUUCCUGGUGAGCAUUCGUUACCAAAUAUCAUGUUCUAAAAGAAUUUAAGCUAUUUCCAACUGAAGUCAAUAAAAAAAAUGAUUUAUGUCUCACAUGGGCAUUUUAGUCAUUUUUCCUCAAAAAUCUCGAAACUAGCUAAAAAUGUAGUAUGCAAGUGGAAAACACAUAUUUCAUAAUCAAAAAUAAGUUUAGAUAUCUAAAACAUUCAUUUAAAGUGAAAUUAUAACUAUUUGAAUAUAAUAAAAAUAUUUAAUAAAAUAUUCUAUUUUCUUAUAAAACAAUACUUAUAGAGUUACCUGUAAAUAAUUUUUGUAGCGUAAAAGCUAAAUAAAUUCAUAAAUACUGUAAUACAAAUAACCAAAGUAUAAAAUUUAAUUUACAGUGACACGUGGGCCCACGAACGACUAAAAGUAUCAAAAGCAAUAAACCUACAGUUUUUGAGGAUGCAAGUCCAACUGUAGCCCUCAACGAAAUGAGCUAUCUACUGACUAUCCUGAGCCUAAAAUGGGUAAAAAGGAGGGUGGUGAGAUUAUAUAAUCCCAAUGAGUAAACAAAUAUCAUCUAAAAUAUCUAAAGCUGAAUAAAUGGAGACAGAUAAAAUAGUUUAACAUACUGUAAUUCAUCACCUUUUAACUCAUUUCAACCAAAUAAAAUCAAUUCAUAUAAAUCGAGUAAUCAACAUGGCUUAUGAAUUUCUUAAAACUUUGGCUAGUGCCAAAAUUAUUCUCAUACUCAGUUAUCAGGGAUACCUUGGUCGAGGGCUAUCCCAACCGAGUCUGCCAAGGUUGUUAAAAAGUUAUGUACGCAUAAAUCAUGUUUUUAUUUUGGAAACAUAGUCGUUCCUUGGCGUUGGCUGAGUUCGCCCUCACAUGGUGGUUUGGCGUGAAGUGAACUCUAAAGUUUUAACCUCAUGAGUUAUCCAAUUGUGCCCCUCAUACUGAGGUAUGAAUAUUAUAGGGUUAUCGUGCCCCUCUAAUAGGCUGGUCCACGGAACCCGUCCACUGCAGCGACUAAUCAAUAACCCUCCAAUUCAAUAAAAUUCAAUAGCAUGACAUGGCAAUUUUAUCAUUAUCCAGCCUAUCAAGGCAAACAAUAGUUUAUGCAUUUUCAACACAAAUACCAAUUCAACCAUUCCUGCCAAUAUUAUCAUAAGCCAUUCAAUUCAAACCAUGAUUUAUAAAACAACAAUUAGUCUCCAAUUACUCCAUUUUCAAAACCAUCAUUCAAUUUCAAGACAAUUUUAUAAAAUCAUUUCAUUUAAUCACAUUUUGUUUAUAAAACAUAAAGAUUUACUAUUUAAACUCAUUUUCCAUAAAAUCACAAAAUCGGAUAAAAACCACUUUAGAUAAUUAAGAUGAUAGUAAGGUUACUCACUGUUUCAGGAGUCGAAUUUUGAGUACUCCGAUUCUUGAUCCUCAGGUACUAUCUCUUUACUUUUGCCAGAAUGCUCACCACCUAGACAUAAUGCACAAUAAGCCAUUUAAUACAUUUGUGCUAAAUUGUUAUAAAACCAAUUCAGGCUUUAUACUAAUGCAUGAAAUGGGAUGUGAAAUACUCGGUUAACUAUCUAAAUAUGGUGUUCAAUAUAAAUUCAAUUAUGUACCUAAAUAAAACGGUAUUGGCCUAAUUCGAUCUAUCACCCGAUUAAUUGGCCAAUACGUCCAAUUCAACUCCGAAUAAUUUCAUUUUUCUCCCAAUACUCCAAAUCAUCAAACACAAGUUAAAUAACUUGAAUUAUGGCAAAAUCAUCCUCACAUUUUCUCUUGGAAAAAUCGACCACGGUGGGUGCAUCAACACUAUAAUUUUUCAAGCUUGAUUCUCACACCAUAAAUCACUAAUUUCUAACCAAAUCACUUGAAAUAAAUCAAAAUCAUCAUCAAUACUCUACAAGGAAGAUUCAGCCAAUGGAGGUUCUUAAGAGGUAUACGGUUUUUCAUGCUAAACAUUACCAUUUUCAGUUUCCACCACCACAAUUCAUUAAAUUCUAACUAAAUAACAUAAGACAUCACAAGAUUCAUCUUCAAUAUUGUCUUUAUGAAAUUCAGCCAAUGAAGAAUCCAUGAAGAACAUGUGAUUUUUCUUACUUGUUUUCCUUCCAAACAUGAUAAAUCAACUAUAAACACUAAAAUAUCUCAAAAUCUAACCAAAUAAAUCAUCAAAUCUUCUCUCUCUAAAUUCGGUCAGCCAUGAAUCCUUCAUGAUAUCUUGUGAUUCAUCCAUGGAAAAUGCAAAAUAAUGCAUGGAAAAGGUAUAUCACAAGUCAAAAUCAAGAAAGUUUACCUUUGAUUGCUUGAUUACUUGAAAUCCAUCAAUUUUCUCUUGAAUUUUCACUCUAGGGUUUUUGUUCUUCUUUUCUUCCUUUGUUCUUGCUAUGGCCGGCCAUGAGAAAUGAGUUGGGA